GCUCAGGACGCACGCUGGUGGCGUGCCUCAUACAGGCAAGUAGAACGCUGAGGAUUGGUGCUUGCACUAAUCCAAGGAGUUGCGAACGGGUGAGUAACGCGUAGGUAACCUACCUCAUAGCGGGGGAUAACUAUUGGAAACGAUAGCUAAUACCGCAUGACACUAGAGUACACAUGUACUCAAGUUAAAAGGAGCAAUUGCUUCACUAUGAGAUGGACCUGCGUUGUAUUAGCUAGUUGGUGAGGUAAAGGCUCACCAAGGCGACGAUACAUAGCCGACCUGAGAGGGUGAUCGGCCACACUGGGAUUGAGACACGGCCCAGACUCCUACGGGAGGCAGCAGUAGGGAAUCUUUGGCAAUGGACGGAAGUCUGACCGAGCAACGCCGCGUGAGUGAAGAAGGUUUUCGGAUCGUAAAGCUCUGUUGUUAGAGAAGAACGGUAAUGGGAGUGGAAAAUCCAUUACGUGACGGUAACUAACCAGAAAGGGACGGCUAACUACGUGCCAGCAGCCGCGGUAAUACGUAGGUCUCGAGCGUUGUCCGGAUUUAUUGGGCGUAAAGCGAGCGCAGGCGGUUCUAUAAGUCUGAAGUAAAAGGCAGUGGCUCAACCAUUGUAUGCUUUGGAAACUGUAGAACUUGAGUGCAGAAGGGGAGAGUGGAAUUCCAUGUGUAGCGGUGAAAUGCGUAGAUAUAUGGAGGAACACCGGUGGCGAAAGCGGCUCUCUGGUCUGUAACUGACGCUGAGGCUUGAAAGCGUGGGGAGCAAACAGGAUUAGAUACCCUGGUAGUCCACGCCGUAAACGAUGAGUGCUAGGUGUUAGGCCCUUUCCGGGGCUUAGUGCCGCAGCUAACGCAUAAGCACUCC
Molecule: ribosomal RNA, 865 nt
Filed under: Streptococcus iniae
Lineage: Bacteria; Bacillati; Bacillota; Bacilli; Lactobacillales; Streptococcaceae
Description: bacterial SSU rRNA
Rfam family: Bacterial small subunit ribosomal RNA
Source: RNAcentral